RNAcentral lists this ribosomal RNA (274 nucleotides) under uncultured bacterium. RNAcentral describes it as "partial 16S ribosomal RNA". It matches the Rfam family "Bacterial small subunit ribosomal RNA", at positions 523 to 796 of the family's 1533-position model. The record is from RNAcentral.
AUACGGAGGGUGCAAGCGUUAUCCGGAAUCAUUGGGUUUAAAGGGUCCGUAGGCGGACUAUUAAGUCAGUGGUGAAAUCCCACAGCUCAACUGUGGAACUGCCUUUGAUGCUGGUAGUCUUGAGUUAUAUGGAAGUAGAUAGAAUGUGUAGUGUAGCGGUGAAAUGCAUAGAUAUUACACAGAAUACCGAUUGCGAAGGCAGUCUACUACGUAUAUACUGACGCUAAGGAACGAAAGCGUGGGGAGCGAACAGGAUUAGAAACCCUAGUAGUCC